Molecule: non-coding RNA, 1397 nt
Organism: Durio zibethinus
Lineage: Eukaryota; Viridiplantae; Streptophyta; Magnoliopsida; Malvales; Malvaceae
Source: RefSeq, a predicted model, not a curated record
UCUUAUGUGAAGUCCGGGCAAGGCAGAAUCUUCAAUGACAAAAUCACCGUAAAACUAAAACUCCUUUUCCUUUUCCUCUUCUUCUUCGCCUUCCUAAAAUGAGAUUGAGGUCAGGGUUCUUUUACACUACAACCAUGCCUAGUUUAACAAACCCUUAACAACCGUGCAAUCGAAUUUAGAAAGAAAAACCAAAACCCACGAAAAUGUCAACGACAUCAUCAUCACCGUCAUCGUCAGCCUUCUCGGUGAUCUGUCUGCUCCACUCGGUGAUCGCCUUGUCAAGCGGCGCGCUCAUGAUGUUCCACAUGAAGGAAAUCUACACCUUCACGCAUGGGAUCGAAACCGCCACGAGACUCCUGGGCUCGACCCCACAUGAUCAGCUCCUGAUCCGGACCUCCGAUUCUUUCUCGGGUUUGCUCUUGUUCGCGAUUGGGUUCUUGCUGUUCAUGGUCUCUUCCGUUAAAGACAAAGAGUUCCAUUCGUUCUUUGCCAAAGGUUGCACGGUUUUACAUGUUUUCACGGCGAUGUGGAGGUUCUGGUUCGAGAGAAGGGUUGAGGAUUUGGCUUGGGAUUGGCUUAGGCAGACAGUUGGCGACAUUUUGUUGGCUCUCUCUUGGGUAUUCUUUUUGGUUUACUCUUGGAGAGAAAAGUAUGAUUAGAGUUUUCAUCUUCAAAUUGGUGCACUGUUAGGCACUCCUCUACAAGUAACUCCAGGUCCUGAGGAUGGCAAGAGUAGUUAAUAUGGAUCCCCUGACGAGUUGAAAGGUCCUUUCUAUCUCCUAAAUACUCUUCAUCAGCUGAAUGACUGGAAAGUAUAGAAGCGUAGAUAUGUAGCUUAGCAUUUCGCUUAACAUGGCAAUGAUGCCAAGAAAUACCCCACUGGAUCUACAAGGAAUGUUGCAUAGUCCGAAUCAUGUUCAUUCGGCACUAGUCGCCUCAUAGAUGGUGGGCGUAAGGAAAAUAUCCUCCAUAAGGAUACAUCCCAAAGUUCACUGCAGCGUGGUGGGCUGACGCAACCCAGGUAAUGGUGGUGAGGAUGAAGAUAAGAUCAUUUGGAGUUUGAGAGUUUGGACCACCAGCUGGCAUGGCAAAUAUCAGCAUGGCCUACAUUGAUAGAUUCAUAGUAACAGGCGUUGAGUUCUGAGUCUGAUUCAAUACUACUGCCUCAUGAUCGUAGUAAUUUACAUAGGUUUCAACAAGUUCCUCAAUGGCAGACCAUAUCAGCAACCCAUCAUUUGCAUGUGGGUAGUCUUGGAUAAAGUUUCAUCCAUGUGGCUGUGUUGGGUCUGGUACUGCCAUUCCUCUGAACAGUAAUGAGAUUAGAGUUAUAUUUUCUGCGAGUGAGAUCAUUAUAAAAAUUAGAGGACUAAUAAUUGCUGCACACAACUUAGGGAAUU